CUGAGGUUGACCGCAGCUGCUGCCAGGCGGCGAAGUGAUCAAAGUCGGGUAACUGGCAGCUGCUGCUGGUGGAAAUGCCCACCCACCUUCUCCUCCCGCCCCAUCUCCGGGAACCGCCCUUCCUCUGCUGCCUGAUUCAAUGUGCACAGUAGCAUUACCUAUUAGGACUCUGAGAAGUCUCACAUGAAACCAACAAUAACAGCAACAGCAACAACAGAAUGAUUUGGGCUUGUUUAACC
Molecule: long non-coding RNA, 239 nt
Filed under: Fukomys damarensis (Damara mole-rat)
Lineage: Eukaryota; Metazoa; Chordata; Mammalia; Rodentia; Bathyergidae
Description: lncRNA (ENSFDAG00000031568.1)
Source: RNAcentral